UAAUGUAUAUUUUUUCUUAUAGAAUUAAACUGUUUGCUGAAAACUGGAUCUACGGUAGGACAUCCUAAUUAUGGCAAAAGUUACUACAUGUGUCCAUUGUAUCCAAAGGGAUGUAACUACGUAGCAAAAGCAAGCAUUCCACCUAGGUUCUGUUCUAGGCAUAAAAAUAAAAUUAUAGAAUUGCAAGUAUUUAAAGAUUUGUUGGCUUCUGGCGAGAAAAGAGAAAAAAAAAAUAGUUAUUUGGAUUUUGGGCCACUUGUGUAGGAAAAUGUUGAAAAUUUCAGUGUGAAGACCAACAUUAUUUUAGGUUUUUCAAAUUUUAUGUUUUAAUUUUAAGCACAAUUUUUUCCUGCAACUUAUUCACUUAGCAGGAAGUAACUGUUAAUUAAAAAAGGAAAAAUAUAAAAUAUAAUCGUUCUGUCGGUCUUUGUAACUUUUAAAAUAAUUCAUCAUUAAUUUGUUUACAAGUAAAUUUA
Long non-coding RNA from Centruroides sculpturatus (bark scorpion), 476 nucleotides. RefSeq lists it as uncharacterized. The transcript is spliced from 3 exons. Lineage: Eukaryota; Metazoa; Arthropoda; Arachnida; Scorpiones; Buthidae. The record is from RefSeq and is a predicted model, not a curated record.